UUGGCAGAAGAGUGCAGUUUCUCUUGCAUGACUGACUUGCCCAAAAGGAGGACGUCCGAGAAAGAAUGUGUGCCAGCCCCUACCGCAUCAAUCUCAAUCAAAAUCAUCUUGUCUGUACAGGUGUUGUAGCAAGAAGUUUUGGAUGAAAAAGGACGCCAAAAAUAUGAGGCAAUCUCACUCCACAACUACCUGAAACUAUUCUCUUUUCUCUGGACGAACGUCAAUAGAAGUGUGGAUUUUAUUCCCUGCCCCUCACUGGAUUCCAGGCAGCAGACAGACAGAAGCAGAUCUUUUUAAAAAUAUGUAAUUGUAAUGAUUUAAGUCUCUAAGAUCUAGAGUAUUUUGUUUGUCUGGACGUCUAAUCAUACAGACCUUAGCCGUCAUAUUAAAAUGGCGAAUUUUAUCCUUUGGCAUUUGAAAGCACAACAUACAUAAUCCUUUAUCUCUCCCAGAGCUAUUAGCUUUUUGGCCUUUGGCUGGCCGAUGUAUACAGUAUCUAUAGUUAUUGCAUGCAAGGGCUCUCAACUGACUCCCCAGGUCUUUGAUCAAACCAGCUAAACUUGAUUUUCCAGAUUGCUGAAGAGACAAGGCCUACAACUAUCAGCUUUUCAAGUCCUGGCAAGCAAUGGAGACCCCUUGCUCCCUCCCGGGCUUUAUCAGAAUCAAAGGUGGCCCAAAGCCAAGAGAUAACUAUGAAGAUCUUCCAUGAAGUUCUUACAAAAGGUGGCCUCAGGUCACCACCACUAAGAUGGAGCACCUUCCAUCCAGGACCUCAGUGCACCUUGCAAAUGUCAUAAAUCUUCAAAGCCCUUCCAUAAUGGAGGUAAGUAUCUAUGGUCACACUUUUAUAGGCAAAGAAGCACAAAGCAGGCAAGUGUUCUCUUUUUUAAAGUGGAAUAUGCUUUGGUCAAAGAUUUAGUCAUCACUAAGAGUGUAGUGAAAACCCAUGAACACUUACUGAAGGGUACCUGGGUGAAGUGUCUCACUGGCGAGCUUCGCUUUUCCUGCCAGUUCCUGGACAAUAUUAUUUGAAAAUCACAUGUUAAUAAAUCAAAAAUUAUCUGCUGAUAAUUAGUCAGCUUUUACAAUGACUAGUAUAGAAAAUGGCUCCUGGACCUUCAUAGUUAUAUGGCAAAUUCUGAAAAUAGAAAUGGCCAAACACCUUCUUCUCCUUCUCUUUCUCUUCCUCCUCCUUCUCUACUACUACUAGUGUUAUCUCCCCGCCCACCCAUGUGUGUUAUAUGGCGUCUCUGAGGAGCAUCAAUGGUGGUCCAGGAACAACUUUCUGAUUUUAGUUCUCACCUUCCACCUUUACAUGGCACAUGAAUUACUUUUGUGUUGAUGUGAUAAAAACCUAUGACCAAAAGCAAUUUAAGGAAGAAAAAGGUUUAUUUUGGCUUACAGGUUCAGAGGGAUGGAGUUCAUUAUGUUUGGGAAGGCAUGAUGAUUGUUAGAAGAUGCAUUGUGACAAGAACUGGAAGCUGGCUGAUCACAUUUUUAUCCACCCACAGGAAGUAGAGUGAAGCCAUAAACUCUCCAAACCCACUCCCAGUGACUUCCUCUAACAGAGCUAGACCUUCUAAAGUUUCCAUACCCUCCUCAAAUAGCAGCACCAGCUGGGGACCAAGUGUUGAAACAUAAAAUUACUGAGGCCAUUUCCUAUGUAAACCACAGCAUGUUGGUUCCAAAGACUGAUCUCAGGUCAUCAGGCUUGCAUCGACAGGCAAAAGUGCCUGAACUCACGAAACCAUCUCAUUGGUCCUCCACACAUUUUUUUCACUUGAUCUUUGCCAAAAGGCCAAGAAGUGAUCCCCAAACCUUUUUAUCAUCUGACACCAAAGCAAUGGAACUUAGAGAUGAGUACAGAGACUAUCUAGUCAAGCGUUUUCAUAAUUUAGAUGAGAAAAUUGGGAUUGAGGAAGGUUAAUAAGUAACUUUCAUGAAAUCACUCAGCUUUUAAAACCUUAAUUUAAUUUCUCUGCCCUCACUUUUGAUGCAGAAAGGGUUUAAUUUGGCUUAGUCAUUCAGUUGGUUAGUGGCAUCAAUAACUAAAAUCCAGGCUCCUGGCCCUCAUCAACCCAUCUUCCCAAUGAACUACAUUCACAGUGUGUGCCUUUCUGCAUCCUAAGUAUUAUGAAAUCAUAAGAUGUGGGAAUUGUGAGGAGUUGACUAUUGUUCUGCUGUGCUUUAAUUUCAGAGGAAUCUGAUACUCAGGGAGCUUACGGGAAUCACUUGAGGCUCUAUGGUUAGUGACCAUAGAGCCACAGAAACCCAGACUCACAAUUUCCCCUUCCUUCCACAGAUCUGAAAUGUUAAUUUGUUAACUAGGAUCCCAGCAACCAAAACCAUCAAUACAGUUUUAUACUGACUUUUCAGAAGUAUGCUUUUAUUAAAAACAAUUUAAAACAAAAUAAAUCACAACAAAAACUCCAGGGAAUAGGUAAAGAGUAACCAAAAUUCUGCUUGUUUUUUUGACAUGUUCUGGACCUGGAAAUCUGACAAUGGGUGAUAACUUAUAAAGACCACUAGGAACUGCAAGAAUCCAAAGUGCUGACUGAUGUUCAGAGCUCAAACCAUCCUCAUCAGAGUUUCAGGAGUGUGCAUUUUGUUUAUGAUUAAAAUUGUCAGCUGCUUUUAGUGGCAUAUUCUGAUAGUCCUAGAUAUUCAGGAGACUGAGGCAGGAGGAUUACUCAAGUCAAGAGUUGGGGAAGAAUUGGUAGAAUGAGAUCUUGUCUCAAACAAAACUGCCACCCCCAAUCAAAAGAAAGAAACAAAGAACAAUAGGAAGGUUGGGAGAAAGGGAAAGAGGGAAGGAGGGAGAGAGGGCGGGAGAACAUCGAAGGCCAUAGAUAAUGUAUGGUGAUCCUCACUAAACAAAAAUAAUUAAUGACAGCGGCACACUGAUUUUUUUUAAACCAUCAUGGAUAACCUAGAACUUAGGAAUGUUUAUGUAUUUUUGAGUGUGUUAACUCAUUCUCUGGCCACCCAACUAAAGGGAAGAAUGCUUGAAUCCAUUGAAGAUAGCUGUCCCUGUAUUUUACAUAUCCUUCCUUCCUUUGGAAGUUAGCACAAUAAUAUGCACCUUGGAUCAC
Peromyscus maniculatus bairdii (prairie deer mouse) is the source of this 3092-nucleotide non-coding RNA. NCBI's taxonomy places the organism in Eukaryota, Metazoa, Chordata, Mammalia, Rodentia, Cricetidae. The record is from RefSeq and is a predicted model, not a curated record.